Molecule: long non-coding RNA, 1971 nt
Filed under: Helianthus annuus (common sunflower)
Lineage: Eukaryota; Viridiplantae; Streptophyta; Magnoliopsida; Asterales; Asteraceae
Source: RNAcentral
AUGCAUCGUAGCAUACGUUGUGGGGUUCAUUGGGGAACACCAAAAAAGUGGGGAACCGGGGAACACCCUUAGAUUAAGUUAAUCAAUGGUUAAGAUUAGAUUAGAUUUGUAAGGUUUAAAAAACACGGAGGGGCAUAUUUGGAAUUUAUGAAAAGUUUUAAUUAGGUCGCUGGAGAGUAUUACGUAGUUCGCCGGAGAACUCAACCCUCUGCCACACGACACCCACUGAUUCUUUGCUUCCGGCUUCCAAUUCCGUCUCUUUCCGGCGGUUCAGAGAUAAUCGGAUAUGUUAAUUCUGAUUUCGAUCUCGAUCUCCUUCCGGCUGUUUGAAAGAUGCUUAGAUUUGUUAAUUCUGAUUCCGACAUUGUUCCGGCGGUUUAAGAGAUGAUCAGAUCUGUUAAUUUUGAUUCCGAUUUUGUUCCAGCGGUUUCAAAGAUGAACAGAUCUGUUAGUUCUUCCAUUGUUGGUGCUUAAGAUGAUCAGGUCUGUUAAUUCUAUGCUUAGUGCGUGAUUAAGUGAUUAGAUUCAUUCGUACGUUGAUAUACAGGUAUUCACCGACGAUGAUCUAGAUUUUAGUUAGUUUUUUCAAGUGAAAUUCGUGUUGUGGCUCAUUGAUCUGAAAUAUUCUUGUUAGAUCUGAAGUGAAUUUUUAACAUGUUAAUUGAUAUUUUUAUUCUCAACAUAGACUACAGUGGCUUUAAAUGUUACUCAAGAACCUAACAGAUCCUUGAAAGUUCAAUUCAAGCUACUUACAAAGUCUAGUACAUACAGAAACCGGAUUCAUGUGCGGGUGAGCAAAACGCUAAUUCAUUGGUUGAUUUUUAAUCGAAAACAGAUGAACUUGAGGAUAUGUUGAGAGGGAGAAGAAGAAGCAAGAAGAAAGAACCGACUGCUUACUAGAAAACUUACUCACUAGAAAGAACUGAGCCUCAAAAGCCACACACAACAACAUAUCAUCACUGCUGCUGCUCUGUUCCUUACACCAUCGUCACCUUCGAAUUCCCGUCGUCGUCAUCGUCGGCCCUGCUGCUCCGCUCGUUUCACCCAGACGACAACAACAACAGCCGUCACUGCUGCUGGUCGACCACCACCACCGCCAAUCUCGUGGUUGAGAAUAAGGGGUUUUGUCACAUGGUUCCAUCAUCCAUGCUUAGUGCAUGAAUCAAGUCCAUCUAAAGCUGCAUUAGAGUUAAUAUAUGAAAUGGUGGUUCAGGAAUCGGGUCAAAAUGUGGAUUACACCCAGGACUAUCUUAGCAAUGUAAUCCAGUUUCCUUUCUAGUGAGUAGUGACCAAGGGUACAGAGGCAGAGUUAGCCGAGAAAGCACACACGAAAUCUUGCAGAAACUUGUAGAGGUUGACUUUCUUCUCAAACUCAACAUGACCGUUACUUUCAAAAUUCCCAUUUUCAAGAAGAGGUAUCUUUCUUGAUUGGUUUCUUAGCCAUCAUUGAGGCGCUCUAUAUUGACAUUACGAGGGAUGCUCAUGUUACCAAAGAACAACAUAAACCAUAUGUUGUGGUUUUUGUGGGAGUUAAUGGAGUAGGAAAGUCUACUAAUCUUGCCAAGUGGCUGCAGGAGCAUGAUGUCAAUGUCAUGAUGGCUGCAUGUGACACAUUCUGUUCAGAAGCAGUUGAGCAGCUGCGUACUCAUGCACGUAGGCUCCAGAUCCCUAUUUUGGAAAAGGGUUAUGAGAAAGAUCAUGCAAUCGUUGCUAAGGAAGCAAUUCAGGAGGCUACCCGAACGGGUCAGACGUUGUUCUUAUUGACACAGCUGGUUAGAUGCAGCUUUAAAGGCGACAAAACUAUUUAUAAUAUUGUUUUCUUCUUGUAAUUAUGUGUAUUAUGUUUUUAUUUGUGUAUAAACUUUAUGUUAUUACAAUCUGAUCUGAAUCAUGUGAAGUUUGCAUAUAUAUAAUAUUCGAUUCAGAUUAGUUGUGAUAAGUUUCUAGGGUUAAUAAAGCAAGAAUUGCGAU